Molecule: long non-coding RNA, 1809 nt
Organism: Fukomys damarensis (Damara mole-rat)
Lineage: Eukaryota; Metazoa; Chordata; Mammalia; Rodentia; Bathyergidae
Source: Ensembl
GAAAAUGCUGAUGCCACAGACCAACUUUAGAUACACAUAAGUGUGACCCCAAAGGUCGGUUGUUUCCUAGAUUCAUUUGACAUUUUGAGGUGAGUUAUUAGAUUUUUCCCCGUUGGUUAUCAACCCAGAGGUUGUAUAUCAAUCCCAGGGUGAUUUGGGAGUCCUUAAGGAAUCUUAUGAUUUUCACACUCAGUGAGGAGAAUGUUGGCCCUUCUGACCAGGAAUCCAAAACACUAGGAUGUGAAUGAUUUGUCCCAACCAAUGAGGAACUGUGUCACUGAAUGUCUGUGAUGUUCCCUGAGGAAUCCCAGAGCAGAGGCAAUGAAGGACUCUGGUCUACCUGGUUAUCCUUUAUACCCACAAGGAAAACCACCUACUUAUUUCCUUUAAAUGGCCCAUAGCAGCCACCCACUACUCCAAGGAGAUAAUUUUUUUCACUGUAUGUAUGUUCCUGGCUUCUUCCCUACCCCCAGCUAAAUAUUCUUGGGUUCCAGACAGGUUUCCAACAUUAUCCCACAUCCUGCCUCAACAAUGGCUCCUUUGUCUUUUUUACAGUAACUUGGAAGAAAGAAGCAGAGAGAGAGAGAGAGAGAGAGAGAGAGAGAGAGAGAGAAAUGAUAGAAAGAUACAGUUUGGGACACAAGAUAAUUGUUCAAGAAGUGAGGAAUGAGCCUUCAGUGGACACAUUGAUGGAACGAGCCUUAAAAUGAAGGACACUACCCAGUGGCUGAGCUAGGCACAGUCCAAGGGCUGUGUAGUGUGAGCCCUUUUCCUGCAUGGUUUUAUAUGGAUUUGAACAGCCCCUUCAGCAUCUGUAGGAAGUGGUAUCUUGUCUGGUUAGGAUUAGAGUAGGGAGUAAAAUAUUCCUGAUUCCAUAAAUCAAGGAGCUUUUAGUUGGAUGGGAAAUUUGAAGUUUUCCUGAGCUGAACAUCAUGGGGAAGUCAGUCUGGGAUGAUGCGGGUCUGUAGCUAGGUCCCUAAGCUCUACAAAUCACUCCAUAGUGUUUUAAGCAUGGGACAUGUUGCUGAGUAGAUCUGGAAUCUCUCUCUCUUGGACAAACCUUGUUUCCUACUUUAUUAUGGCCCCAGAAUGAAAGGCAAUGGGUGCUAUAUCAGCAAGCAUGUUUGUGUUUUUUUCCAGAAAUGAGUUGGAAUGCUUUGUUGAAUCAUUUAUGAAAAAAGCACUAGCUCAGUAAGAGGAAAUCACAAAUAUGAUCUGUAAGCCUGGGACCAAUAAAGACCCUGAAAUGGUUAACUUUUGUUGUCAGCUUGACUGUAAUGAGGAGCACCUAGCAAACUGACUUAGCACACUGCCGGCUGAGUCUGUGUUUCCCUAGAAGACUGGUAUGUGGGUCAGCAACCUGCAUGAGACAGAUCUGGCCUCAAAGUGGGUGGCACUGUCCUGUAUGCAGGGGCUGGACUGAAGAAGACACCAAGAUGGGGACCCUUGCUCUCAACAGCCCAAGUUCUUUUCCACUGAGUGAAGGAUUUCUGAUCCUGUCACCCUGGACAUCAGGCUCCAGUUUCCUUGGCCUUUGAAUUUGGACUCACACGCAUCUCUCCAGGGCCCUCGCAGGACUUCAGCUUGAGACAGAGUUGCACUGAGCUCUCCCUCAUUCGAUACACUACCAGCUUCUUCGACUGAGCACCACUCGUCUUCUCCAACCUCCAGAGCAGACAGGCAAUGCAGAGUUGUUCAGCCUCUUUGUGAGCCAAUCUGAUGAAAACCCUCUUCUGUUUGUAAAUAUUCUCCUUUUGGAAAACACUGACCAAAAGAGUACGUCAUUCCCAUCUGCAACCCAGAUAAGGC